GCACAAGCGGUGGAUGAUGUGGAUUAAUUCGAUGCAACGCGAAAACCUUACCUACCCUUGACAUGUCCGGAAUCCCGAAGAGAUUUGGGAGUGCUCGCAAGAGAACCGGAACACAGGUGCUGCAUGGCUGUCGUCAGCUCGCGUCGUGAGAUGUUGGGUUAAGUCCCACAACGAGCGCAACCCUUGUCAUUAGUUGCCAUCAUUUGGUUGGGCACUCUAAUGAGACUGCCGGUGACAAACCGGAGGAAGGUGGGGAUGACGUCAAGUCCUCAUGGCCCUUAUGGGUAGGGCUUCACACGUCAUACAAUGGUCGGUACAGAGGGUUGCCAACCCGCGAGGGGGAGCUAAUCCCACAAAGCCGAUCGUAGUCCGGAUCGCAGUCUGCAACUCGACUGCGUGAAGUCGGAAUCGCUAGUAAUCGUGGAUCAGCAUGUCACGGUGAAUACGUUCCCGGGUCUU
RNAcentral lists this ribosomal RNA (459 nucleotides) under uncultured Rhodocyclaceae bacterium. RNAcentral describes it as "bacterial SSU rRNA". It matches the Rfam family "Bacterial small subunit ribosomal RNA", at positions 923 to 1382 of the family's 1533-position model. The record is from RNAcentral. Lineage: Bacteria; Pseudomonadati; Pseudomonadota; Betaproteobacteria; Rhodocyclales; Rhodocyclaceae.